GUGAGGAAUAUUGGUCAAUGGAGGCAACUCUGAACCAGCCAUGUCGCGUGCAGGAAGACGGUCCUAUGGAUUGUAAACUGCUUUUAUUUAGGAAUAAACCCCCGGUCGUGCACCGGGGCUGAAUGUACUAAAAGAAUAAGCACCGGCUAACUCCGUGCCAGCAGCCGCGGUAAUACGGAGGGUGCAAGCGUUAUCCGGAAUCAUUGGGUUUAAAGGGUCCGCAGGCGGGUAAAUAAGUCAGAGGUGAAAUCGGGCAGCUCAACUGUCGCACUGCCUUGUAUACUGUUUAUCUUGAGUUUUAGUGGAGUGGGCGGAAUAUGUCAUGUAGCGGUGAAAUGCGUAGAUAUGACGUGGAACACCGAUAGCGAAGGCAGCUCACUAACUAUGAAUUGACGCUCAUGGACGAAAGCGUGGGUAGCAAACAGGAUUAGAAACCCGGGUAGUCC
This 446-nucleotide ribosomal RNA is filed under the name uncultured bacterium. RNAcentral describes it as "partial 16S ribosomal RNA". It matches the Rfam family "Bacterial small subunit ribosomal RNA", at positions 354 to 796 of the family's 1533-position model. The record is from RNAcentral.